Pelobates cultripes (western spadefoot toad) is the source of this 201-nucleotide non-coding RNA. Lineage: Eukaryota; Metazoa; Chordata; Amphibia; Anura; Pelobatidae. The record is from the annotation of a GenBank genome assembly.
UAGAUAUCUGCUUGGGGCAAAGAAUUUAAAUCAGUUAUUGGUUGGGAUAUGUUAUAAACCACCUCAUGUUGAUAUUGAUGAGGGACAACAGCUGUUUAAGCAAAUUGAAAAAGCUGCAAAUCUGGGUAACACGUUAAUUAUUGGAGAUUUUAAUUAUCUGGACAUAAAUUGGGACAGAGGGACUUGUAGUUCAGCAAAUGG